UGCAGUAUACUACUCAAUUAUGUCAUGACAUCAGCCAAGACAUCAGAGUACAGCUAGAUAUUCUAACAUACAAUGCAGUCAAACAAACAUCUCCACAGCAUGUCAUGACAUUAGUCAAGACAUUAGAAUCCAACUAGUGUUUUACCAUACAAUGCAGCCAAUUAAACAUCUACAAAACCUGAGGAAAUUGUUUGUCAGACUUCGAAAGUUUAAGUUGCGUCUGAAUCCUGCUAAGUGCACUUUUGGGGUCCGAUCCGGUAA
RNAcentral lists this long non-coding RNA (261 nucleotides) under Lathyrus oleraceus (garden pea). RNAcentral's name for it is "Pisum sativum (pea) long non-coding RNA (PSAT_LNC001843)". Lineage: Eukaryota; Viridiplantae; Streptophyta; Magnoliopsida; Fabales; Fabaceae. The record is from RNAcentral.